CCUACGGGUGGCAGCAGUGGGGAAUAUUGCACAAUGGGGGAAACCCUGAUGCAGCGACGCCGCGUGAAGGAAGAAGUAUUUCGGUAUGUAAACUUCUAUCAGCAGGGAAGAAAAUGACGGUACCUGACUAAGAAGCCCCGGCUAACUACGUGCCAGCAGCCGCGGUAAUACGUAGUGGGCAAGUGUUAUCCGGAUUUACUGGGUGUAAAGGGAGCGUAGGCGGUUUAGCAAGUCAGAAGUGAAAGCCCGGGGCUCAACUCCGGGACUGCAUUUGAAACUGUUGAACUAGAGUGCAGGAGAGGUAAGUGGAAUUCCGAGUGUAGCGGUGAAAUGCGCAGAUAUUAGGAGGAACACCAGUGGCGAAGGCGGCUUACUGGACUGUAAAUGACGCUGAGGUUCGAAAGCGUGGGGAGCAAACAGGAUUAGAUACCCCUGUAGUC
RNAcentral lists this ribosomal RNA (440 nucleotides) under uncultured bacterium. RNAcentral describes it as "partial 16S ribosomal RNA". It matches the Rfam family "Bacterial small subunit ribosomal RNA", at positions 338 to 795 of the family's 1533-position model. The record is from RNAcentral.